Long non-coding RNA from Saccostrea cuccullata (small rock oyster), 741 nucleotides. RefSeq lists it as uncharacterized. Lineage: Eukaryota; Metazoa; Mollusca; Bivalvia; Ostreida; Ostreidae. The record is from RefSeq and is a predicted model, not a curated record. The transcript has 4 exons.
AAUAGGGUCCGCCAACGGCUUAUCUCCCCCUUGCGCCGCUAGAGGUGCUGGUGUAUUAUGAGGUAUUCGAGAUAAACAUGGCGUACGCUUCGUACACAGUGCCGAAACUGAAAAAAGAAUUAAUAUUACGCGGCGCUGUAACGACGGGAAGGAAAACCGAUCUCAUAGAAAGGUUGGAAGCAUACGAACGGAAUUUCAACUUUAGUGGUCCCGUCAUAGAACUGCCAGCGGAAAGGGAUGUAGAAUGGCCAACUACUGGUUAUAAACAAAUGACAUCGACCAUCAUGACCUUUUGCCACACAUAACAGAAGCCCAUAUCGAAGGAUAUUUUCAAUAUAGACAAGCAGUCGACAGACAAAUGAUGGGCAAUACAAAGGCCAUUGUGAAAGGAAAAUUACUGCUGGAGUCAGAGAGAGUUGAAGCACUGAGCAUUAACUGUCAAGAUGAAGACUUUUUCCUUACAGGAUUUGUCAGAGCUGCAAUGAAGAAAAAGGCUCCCCCAUAAAAGCUGAAGACAUGCCUUGUCGGUAUAAUCCAGAUCUUAGUGACCCUAGGCCUCAGAAAUACAGAGGAAUAGCUGGAUACAAUGAUUACGUGAGCAACAUUGUAACCAACUACUGUGCUGCAACAUCUGCAGAUUUGGCUUUCAAGUACAUAAAGCCCAAGGCAUUGAUCAACAUUGCAGUAUUAGACCAUGAUUACUUGGACCUGCCAUUCACCGAAUAUUGGAUAGAUGCAGCU